Carcharodon carcharias (great white shark) is the source of this 545-nucleotide long non-coding RNA. RefSeq lists it as uncharacterized. The transcript is spliced from 3 exons. The record is from RefSeq and is a predicted model, not a curated record. Lineage: Eukaryota; Metazoa; Chordata; Chondrichthyes; Lamniformes; Lamnidae.
GAGCUGUUGGUCUGAAUGGCCUGUUUCAGUGUUAUAAAUUCUCAGUAAUUCUGUUUAAAAGAUAAGUGAGACAAAUUUACUUUGCAAAUAAACAGAGAAAGGAAUAAGCGUGACCUCGUAUUCAGAGAAAUUCCAGAAUCAAAUUCCUACUUUUUCAAAACUGCAACAUGAGGACACACUUCCUGGGGCCAAACAUCCUGUGUGAGGAACACCAGUCGGGAUACAAUUCUACCCACACCAGACACUGGACCAGAUGUGCCUGCGGACAUACUGCACUCUUAUCUCUGCAACCAUCUCAGAACAUACUUUUUGUUUUUCUUUCUUCUCGUGGAAAGUCCGGUCUCCUCCCUGAUGAGAAGAAGGGUGUCAGACUAGUCUCACACUGUGCAGAUCAGUGCAUCUUUAACCCCUUCCAAUGACACCAUGAACGCAGAUCAGCUCCAGACUCGACUACUGCAGCGUCACCCAUGCUGGUCUCCUGAUCUCCUGAUCAGUCCGCUCAUCCAAAACUCUGCUGUCGGUAUUCUAACUUGCACCAAGUCCUG